AAUCCUCAGGGUAUGCCAGUGAGCAGCCAGAUUUGAGUAUUGUAUCCAUAGAUAUUCCCAUUACAUUUGACUAAAAAUUUUAAAAUAUUUAUUUAUUCAUAUACAUACAUACAUACAUACAUACAUACAAAUUUUAAAAUAUUUAUUUAUUCAUAUACAUACAUACAUACAUGAGGGCACCAGAUCUCAAUUACAGGUGAUUGUGAGCCACCAUGUGGUUGCUGGGAAUUGAACUCAGGACCUCUGGAAGAGCAGUCAGUGCUCUUAAGCACUGAUCCGUCUCUUCAGCCCCACAUUUGAUUAAAAUUUUUAGUUGAAGUUGUUUGUCUUACAGCUUAUGUUGUACUUGGUCCAGAUUUAGGCUUGGAUGUGAAUUAGUGGAAAUUAAAGGUGUUUGUGGGAGGAGAUGAAUCACGAACAAGCUCAACAUGGAUUUCCUGGAACCUUUUCAUAAUGACAGGCACCCAGAAGAGCACUUGCUUAUUUUCUAUACUUCAUUGCACUUAGUCAAGAAUACAACUCUUGGCCCUAUAGACAUGUUCUCUGCAUUUUUAAAGUCAAAGAUAAGAUUUUUACUUCUUUUUUUUAACUGCCAUGCCAUGAUUAGAAAUUGCUUAUUUAAAAUAAACUAUGUAGUUAUUACUGACAGUGGAUUUUUUUCUCCUUUUUGGAAACAUAUCUUCUCUACUAGGAAAUUUGCUUAAACAAGCUCAACUUAGAGACAGAGCUAGCAAGUGAGAAAAUUGUUUAUGACUUCACCUUAUGUGGGUUAGCAUGUAGUGCUGUGCAUUUAGCAGAGUCCCUCUAACUGCAUGUUUUCCAGCUUCUGUUUUCCGAUAUGUCCCUUUCCUGAGUAUGGCUUCUUACCGUUUUGGGUUUCUAUCAGGCUGACUUCAAUGAUGUAUUCUAUAGUUAUCUCAGCUCCGCUUCCUAUUAAUCCAGUUACCUUCUCAUACUACAGUUCUA
Molecule: long non-coding RNA, 966 nt
Filed under: Cricetulus griseus (Chinese hamster)
Lineage: Eukaryota; Metazoa; Chordata; Mammalia; Rodentia; Cricetidae
Description: lncRNA (ENSCGRG00000025863.1)
Source: RNAcentral